Non-coding RNA from Oryza sativa Japonica Group (Japanese rice), 2117 nucleotides. The record is from RefSeq and is a predicted model, not a curated record. Lineage: Eukaryota; Viridiplantae; Streptophyta; Magnoliopsida; Poales; Poaceae.
ACUUCACUCCUCUAACGCUAUCUCUCUUUUUUGUUUUUAUCUAUAGAAGUCAUCGCACUGAAAAUUUGGUAGAAAAUAUAGUUGCAUUCACAACUUACGCCUCAACUUUUUUUAUAUUUUUUUCUCACUGUUUAUGUACGUUGGAAGCAGUUAAAACUGAUUUAAACAUCAACAUUUUAAAGUUCAAGCAAACAGCCAUGAAAAAAUUUCAAAAUAUUUUUGAACUUUGAUAAAGGUGUCAUCUAUGGCUCUAAUAAAUUUUAGCUUAAAAUAUAACUUUUAUAAAAGAGUAACAAAAAAAAUAGAGCUGUUAUUAAGGAGUAAACUGAAUCAUUUUUAAUAGUUUAAGGGGUAAAAUGAGCCCAAAAAAUAGUUCAGGGUUAAGUGAUCCAUUGAAUUAGUUCGGGGAGUACUAAAAUGAACUUUUUUUCUAAAAUUUUUAUGGCAAUUAGGAAUAAAUGCAAAGUAUAUAUGGGUGUAAUUGCGUAAAAAGUUGUGUAAAUUCGGUCAUGUCAGACAAAUGUCAGCCCAAACUAGGCCCGUUUAAUGCUAAGACUUGUCAGUCCGAAGGCCCAAUCUAACUUGCGGGCUUGUGGCCUGUGCGAAAACUCUCGUGGUCAAAUCUGAAUAUCCGAUACUUCCGUUUCAAAUGCAAUCCAAGGCCGAAGCUGAGAGAGUGCAAAGCCGAGCCACGGUGGAAUGGCGGCCACUCUUUUCCCCACCUUAUCGCCGCCGGUCUCCUCCUCCGACGCCUCCUCGCCCCCGCCCCCUCCCCGCCGGUACGGUCUCCUACCUUCCGCUCCCUCUCCACAAUGCCCUCCGCCGCCGGUUCACGGGCCACCCCCGAUCACGGCAACCUCCUCAUGCUCGGCAUCGAGACCAGCUGCGACGACACCGCCGCCGCCGUGGUUAGAGGCGAUGGCGAGAUCCUAAGCCAGGUGGUAUCUUCCCAAGAAGAUUUACUCGUGAGGUGGGGAGGCGUCGCACCGAAGAUGGCUGAGGAAGCUCAUUUGCUUGCGAUUGAUCGGGUUGUCCAGAAAGCACUUGAUAAUGCAAAUGUGUCAGAAAGUGAUCUUUCUGCAGUGGCUGUCACCGUAGGACCAGGACUUAGUUUAUGCCUCAGAGUUGGUGUUCACAAAGCUCGAAAAAUAGCAAAAUCAUUUCACCUGCCUAUUGUUGGAGUUCAUCAUAUGGAGGCACAGGCAUUAGUUUCCAGACUGGUAGGUCAACAUGAUGUUUGCUUUCCUUCUCCUUUUGUGAACUUCCAGGUUUCGAUGCGACAACACAAAGAUUGCAAUUUCUCUUAUGCUGGUCUGAAGACUCAAGUUCGAUUGGCUAUUGAAUCCAGAAACAUAUCAACAGAUGAUAUUCCUAUUUCAUCUGCUACAAAAGAUGACAGACAAAUAAGGGCGAACAUUGCUGCCUCUUUUCAGUGAGUUGCUGUUUUACAUUUGGAAGAAAGAUGCCAACGAGCAGUUGAAUGGGCCUUGAAGAUGGAGCCUUCUAUUAAAUACUUUGUUGUUUCAGGAGGCGUUGCAUCAAACCAGUAUGUCAGAACUCAUUUGAAUCAGAUUGCUGAGAAGAAUGGCCUACAGCUCGUAUGCCCUCCACCAAGGCUUUGCACUGACAAUGGUGUCAUGAUUGCUUGGACUGGUAUUGAGCAUUUCAUUGCAGGCAGAUUUGAUGAUCCUCCUGCUGUUGAUGAGCCUGAUGAUUUGCAGUAUGACCUGCGUCCAAGGUGGCCUCUUGGUGAGGAAUAUUCAGAUGGAAGAUGUGUUGCACGGUCAAUGAAAACUGCUCGAGUCCACCCAUCACUCGCAUCGAUGAUACAGGGUUCUGUUCAUUAGUAGUUUAGUGAAAAUUGCAGGAGCAAUACAAAGAUCCUGUUGAUAUAGAAAUUGGAUUGUGUUUAGGAAGUAUGCUAUACUACAUUGAUAGUUUGUAUAUUUUGGUAUAUUCCAUUCACUUUUAUUUAGUUGACUCACUCUUUGAGGUAUCAGUACCAGACACACAAAAGUUACUUCUGGCAUUUGUAUUGUUUGGACUGCUAUCCUUUACAUUGAUAAUAUUAGCAAAUACACUCUCCUAAACAAGUGGCGUUCACUGGAGAGAAGACA